UUGGAGAAACCAAAGCUGCUUCAUCGAAUAGAAGUGAGAGAGAGAGGCCUCAGAGAUCAUAGUCGUCUUCUCCAAUUCUCAGACAUGGGUACUUUCAAGCCAUCUUUCAUCCUCUGCCCAACGUUCGUUUGAGAGAUUUUCGAUCUACGAGUUCAUCCAUCGUUUCUCUUCAGAGUCAAAACCUCUACAGAGGAGGAGAAAGAACAUAAGCCACCUGUACAGCAGAGAUAGCAAGAUGUAGAUCCCCUUCCACCACCCAAUACCAUAUAUAUAAACACCUGUCCAAACUCUUUUGAACAAUAAGCAACUAAAAGUUGCUCAUAUUUUGAUGUUUUUAUAUCUGCUUGAUCUAUUAAAAUGUGUCCAAUAUUUUCACAUAACAAGCAGCACAUAAAACAUGUUAUUAGUUUAUUCUUUGUAACUUAAGCUAGCUAAACUAAGGAGUACCAUUUUCCCUGCA
Molecule: long non-coding RNA, 460 nt
Organism: Prunus persica (peach)
Lineage: Eukaryota; Viridiplantae; Streptophyta; Magnoliopsida; Rosales; Rosaceae
Exons: 3
Source: RefSeq, a predicted model, not a curated record